This 138-nucleotide small nucleolar RNA is filed under the name Ornithorhynchus anatinus (platypus). Lineage: Eukaryota; Metazoa; Chordata; Mammalia; Monotremata; Ornithorhynchidae. The record is from RNAcentral.
CCCCUCUCAGGGUCGCACCUGGAGACUUUCCAGUACUCUACCGGUCCUGACUAAGGGAGGGAGAGUCAAGCAGAGGUAUAUCCAUUCCAUUCCUAGUUUGGGCAGUGGCUAGCAAGUGGAAGGCAAUCUGCUACAAGU